AGCAGCCGCGGUAAUUCCAGCUCCAAUAGCGUAUAUUAAAGUUGUUGCAGUUAAAAAGCUCGUAGUUGAAUUUCGAGAUCAAAUUGUUGGUCGUGCCUUGGUACGCACUGGCAUUAUUGGUUUCUCCCUUCUGACGAACCAUGAUGUCAUUAAUUUGGUGUCUUGGGGAAUCAGGACUGUUACUUUGAAAAAAUUAGAGUGUUUAAAGCAGGCUCACGCUUGAAUACAUUAGCAUGGAAUAAUGAAAUAGGACGUUUGAUUCUAUUUUGUUGGUUUCUAGGAUCGACGUAAUGAUUAAUAGGGAUAGUUGGGGGCAUUAGUAUUCAAUUGUCAGAGGUGAAAUUCUUGGAUUUAUUGAAGACUAACUACUGCGAAAGCAUUUGCCAAGGAUGUUUUCAUUAAUCAAGAACGAAAGUUAGGGGAUCGAAGACGAUCAGAUACCGUCGUAGU
Molecule: ribosomal RNA, 450 nt
Filed under: uncultured Glomeromycotina
Lineage: Eukaryota; Fungi; Glomeromycota
Description: SSU rRNA
Rfam family: Eukaryotic small subunit ribosomal RNA
Source: RNAcentral